CACUUGUUGAUAUUUCAAUGACAUCUUUUGCCAUUCAGCAGCAGGGGGUAAGGGUGAAACGGUGCGGUAAGAGCGCACCAGUUUUCCAGGUGACUGGAAAAGCUUGGUAAACCCCGUCCGGUGCAAGACCAAAUAGGGAAGUGUUUGAGGGCUGCCCGUCCAAGCUUCCGGGUAGGUCGCAUGAGGUGUGCGGCAACGUACAUCCCAGAUGAAUGGUCACCACCCUGUUUCGGGGUAACCUGAACAGGGAACAGAAUUCGGCUUA
Molecule: unclassified non-coding RNA, 265 nt
Filed under: Desulfamplus magnetovallimortis
Lineage: Bacteria; Pseudomonadati; Thermodesulfobacteriota; Desulfobacteria; Desulfobacterales; Desulfobacteraceae
Description: RNaseP_bact_a
Rfam family: Bacterial RNase P class A
About the family: Ribonuclease P (RNase P) is a ubiquitous endoribonuclease, found in archaea, bacteria and eukarya as well as chloroplasts and mitochondria. Its best characterised activity is the generation of mature 5'-ends of tRNAs by cleaving the 5'-leader elements of precursor-tRNAs.
Source: RNAcentral